GAGGUGGAGCAAAUCUCAAAAAGACCGUCCCAGUUCGGAUCGCAGGCUGCAACCCGCCUGCGUGAAGUUGGAAUCGCUAGUAAUCGCGGAUCAGCAUGCCGCGGUGAAUACGUUCCCGGGCCUUGUACACACCGCCCGUCACACCAUGAGAGUCGGGAACACCCGAAGUCCGUAGCCUAACCGCAAGGGGGGCGCGGCCGAAGGUGGGUUCGAUAAUUGGGGUGAAGUCGUAACAAGGUACC
RNAcentral lists this ribosomal RNA (242 nucleotides) under uncultured bacterium. RNAcentral's name for it is "partial 16S ribosomal RNA". It matches the Rfam family "Bacterial small subunit ribosomal RNA", at positions 1259 to 1500 of the family's 1533-position model. The record is from RNAcentral.